UACGCUUUUAUGACGAAGCGUUAUCCGGAAUUAUUGGGCGUAAAGCGCCUGUAGGCGGGCGAGUGUGUUUAAUGUUAAAUCUUAAAGCUCAACUUUGAAAUUGCGUUAAAAACUGCUUGUCUUGAGUAUGGUAGGGGUAAAGGGAAUUCCCAGUGUAGCGGUGAAAUGCGUAGAUAUUGGGAAGAACACUAAACAGCGAAGGCACUUUACUAGGCUAAUACUGACGCUGAGAAACGAAAGGUAAGGUAGCGAAACGGAUUAAAUACCCGUGUAGUCUUACCCGUAAACUAUGGACACUAAACGGUAAAUUUUUAAUUUACUGUUAAAGCUAACGCGUUAAGUGUCCCGCCUGGGGAGUAUGCUUGCAAAAGUGAAACUCAAGGGAAUUGACGGGGGCACCGCACAAGCGGUGGAGCAUGUGGUUUAAUUCGACGGUACACGAAGAACCUUACCAGGAUUUGACAUGCUAGAUAGUUGCUUGAAAGAGUAACGUGCCGUAAGGAAUCUAGACACAGGUGGUGCAUGGCUGUCGUCAGUUCGUGUUGUGAAAUGUUGGGUUAAGUCCCGCAACGAACGCAACCCUUGUCUUUAGUUAUUUUCUAAAGAGACUGCCUGUAAUAAACAGGAGGAAGGUAAGGAUGAGGUCAAGUCAUCAUGCCCCUUAUGUCCUGGGCUACACACGUGCUACAAUGGGAAAGACAAUGAGCUGCAAAUCUGUAAAUUUAAGCAAAUCUCUUAAACUUUCUCGUAGUUCGGAUUGUGGGCUGCAACUCGCCCACAUGAAGUUGGAAUCGCUAGUAAUCGCCGGUCAGCUAUAUGGCGGUGAAUCCGUUCCCGGCCCU
This 842-nucleotide ribosomal RNA is filed under the name uncultured bacterium. RNAcentral describes it as "bacterial SSU rRNA". It matches the Rfam family "Bacterial small subunit ribosomal RNA", at positions 516 to 1382 of the family's 1533-position model. The record is from RNAcentral.